UACGUAGGUGGCAAGCGUUGUCCGGAUUUAUUGGGCGUAAAGCGCUCGCAGGUGGUUCAUUGCGUCGUGCGUGAAAGACCCCGGCUCAACUGGGGAGGGUCGUGCGAAACGGGUGAACUAGAGGCCAGUAGGGGGAUGCGGAAUUCCGGGUGUAGUGGUGGAAUGCGUAGAGAUCCGGAGGAACACCAGCGGCGAAGGCGGCAUCCUGGACUGGUCCUGACACUCAGGAGCGAAAGCGUGGGGAGCGAUCCGG
RNAcentral lists this ribosomal RNA (253 nucleotides) under uncultured bacterium. RNAcentral describes it as "partial 16S ribosomal RNA". It matches the Rfam family "Bacterial small subunit ribosomal RNA", at positions 524 to 776 of the family's 1533-position model. The record is from RNAcentral.